RNAcentral lists this ribosomal RNA (2045 nucleotides) under gut metagenome. RNAcentral describes it as "bacterial LSU rRNA". It matches the Rfam family "Bacterial large subunit ribosomal RNA", at positions 1 to 2065 of the family's 2925-position model. The record is from RNAcentral.
GAUUAAGGGCGCGCGGUGGAUGCCUAGGCUCUCGGAGGCGAAGAAGGACGCGAUAAGCCGCGAUAGUCCACGGCGAGGUGCAAGUAACCCUUGACCCGUGGGUUUCCGAAUGGGGCAACCCGGCCGUCUAGAUGACGGUCAUGCAUUAUCAUGCAGGCGAACGCGGGGAACUGAAACAUCUCAUUACCCGCAGGAGAAGAAAACAACAGUGAUUCCCCCAGUAGUGGCGAGCGAACGGGGAAGAGCCCAAACCGCUGCCGUUUCGGCGACGGCGGGGUCAUGGGACCGCGACAUUCGACGGAAGACGAAGUGCAAUUACCUGGAAAGGUAAGCCGUGGAGGGUGACAGCCCCGUGCACGACACCUCUUUCUUAGAUAGCGGAAUCCCGAGUAGGGCGGGACACGAGAAAUCCUGCCUGAAUUCGCCAGGACCUCCUGGCAAGGCUAAAUACUCCCGAGAGACCGAUAGUGAACCAGUACCGCGAGGGAAAGGUGAAAAGUACCCCGAGCAGGGGGGUGAAAUAGACCCUGAACCCGCGCGCCUACAAGCGGUCGGAGCCACGCGAUGUGGUGACGGCGUGCCUUUUGCAUAAUGAGCCUACGAGUUAGUCGUCACCAGCGAGGUUAAGGGCUUCAGGCCCGUCAGCCGAAGUGAAAGCGAGCCUUAACAGGGCGUGAAGUUGGUGGCGCUAGACGCGAAACCUUGUGAUCUACCCACGAGCAGGUUGAAGUCGCGGUAACACGUGAUGGAGGACCGAACCGGUAAACGUUGAAAAGUUUUCGGAUGACUCGCGGGUAGGGGUGAAAGGCCAAUCAAACUGGGAAAUAGCUCGUACUCUCCGAAAUGCAUUUCGGUGCAGCCUGUGAUGUUCUGUUCCAGAGGUAGAGCUACUGGUUGGACGCGAGGGCUUCACCGCCUAUCAAAUCCGGAUAAACUCCGAAUGCUGGAACACGAAAUCAUGGAGUGAGCCCGCGGGUGCUAAGGUCCGCGGACGAGAGGGAAAGAACCCGGACCACCGGCUAAGGUCCCGGAUGGACAGUUAAGUUGAUCAAACGAGGUGGGAUCGCGGAGACAGCUAGGAUGUUGGCUUGGAAGCAGCCAUUCAUUUAAAGAGUGCGUAACAGCUCACUAGUCGAGCGAUCCCGCGUGGAUAAUACACGGGCAUAAAACUGUCAACCGAAGCCGUGGGGUUAGCUUUAUUGCUAACCGGUAGGAGAGCAUUCCUGCCAGCUUUGAAGGUCACCCGCGAGAGUGACUGGAGCGGCAUGAAAAGCAAAUGUAGGCAUAAGUAACGAUAAUGGGGGCGAGAACCCCCCACGCCGCAAGACCAAGGUUUCCCCGGCAAUGUCAAUCAGCCGGGGGUCAGCCGGCCUCUAAGGCUCACCCGAAGGGGGAUGCCGACGAGAAACGGGUUAACAUUCCCGUGCUUCUCGUCACCGUGACGCGGUGACGGGGUGAUGAAUGGACCGCGCGCUGACGGAAUAGCGCGUUGAAGGCCGUACCCUUUGAGGGUGGUAGUCAAGCACGCCACCCGAGGCGACAGCCGAUAGUACCUCGAGGCCUCGGCCGAGUGGAUAGCGUCCAGGCAAUUAACCCCCUAGAAAACCCGCUAAACUUCAAGUGACGAGGAACCGUACUGUAAACGGACACACGUGGUCGGGUAGAACAUACCAAGGCGCUCGAGUGAUUCAUGGUCAAGGAACUAGGCAAAAUAGUCCUGUAACUUAGGGAUAAAGGACGCUCUAGUGAUAGAGCCGCAGAGAAAUGGCCCAGGCGACUGUUUACCAAAAACACAUGGCUAUGCCAAAUCGAAAGAUGACGUAUAUGGCCUGACACCUGCCCGGUGCCGGAAGGUUAAGAGGAGAGCUCAUCCGCGAGGAGAAGGUUUGAAUUGAAGCCCCGGUAAACGGCGGCCGUAACUAUAACGGUCCUAAGGUAGCGAAAUUCCUUGUCGGGUAAGUUCCGACCUGCACGAAUGGUGUAACGAUCUGGGCACUGUCUCGACCAUGAGCUCGGUGAAAUUGUAGUUCCGGUGAAGAUGCCGG